AUUGAACGCUGGCGGCAUGCCUUACACAUGCAAGUCGAACGGCAGCACGUCCCCUCGGGGAUGGUGGCGAGUGGCGAACGGGUGAGUAAUACAUCGGAACGUGCCCUGAAGUGGGGGAUAACGUAGCGAAAGUUACGCUGAUACCGCAUAUUCUGUGAGCAGGAAAGCAGGGGAUCUUAGGACCUUGUGCUUUAGGAGCGGCCGAUGCCGGAUUAGCUAGUUGGUGGGGUAAAGGCCUACCAAGGAGACGAUCCGUAGCGGGUCUGAGAGGAUGAUCCGCCACACUGGAACUGAGACACGGUCCAGACUCCUACGGGAGGCAGCAGUGGGGAAUUUUGGACAAUGGGCGCAAGCCUGAUCCAGCCAUGCCGCGUGAGUGAAGAAGGCCUUCGGGUUGUAAAGCUCUUUCGGCGGGGAAGAAAUUGCGUGGGUUAAUACCCUGCGUAGAUGACGGUACCCGCAUAAGAAGCACCGGCUAACUACGUGCCAGCCGCCGCCGUAA
RNAcentral lists this ribosomal RNA (502 nucleotides) under uncultured bacterium. RNAcentral describes it as "partial 16S ribosomal RNA". It matches the Rfam family "Bacterial small subunit ribosomal RNA", at positions 30 to 523 of the family's 1533-position model. The record is from RNAcentral.